UAGUAUUUGGUCGUAGACCCGAAACCAGGUGAUCUACCCAUGGUCAGGUUGAAGUUCAGGUAACACUGAAUGGAGGACCGAACCGACUUACGUUGAAAAGUGAGCGGAUGAACUGUGGGUAGCGGAGAAAUUCCAAUCGAACUUGGAGAUAGCUGGUUCUCUCCGAAAUAGCUUUAGGGCUAGCCUCAAGUGAUGAUUAUUGGAGGUAGAGCACUGUUUGGACGAGGGGCCCCUCUCGGGUUACCGAAUUCAGACAAACUCCGAAUGCCAAUUAAUUUAACUUGGGAGUCAGAACAUGGGUGAUAAGGUCCGUGUUCGAAAGGGAAACAGCCCAGACCACCAGCUAAGGUCCCAAAAUAUAUGUUAAGUGGAAAAGGAUGUGGCGUUGCCCAGACAACUAGGAUGUUGGCUUAGAAGCAGCCAUCAUUUAAAGAGUGCGUAAUAGCUCACUAGUCGAGUGACACUGCGCCGAAAAUGUACCGGGGCUAAACAUAUUACCGAAGCUGUGGAUUGUCCUUUGGACAAUGGUAGGAGAGCGUUCUAAGGGCGUUGAAGCAUGAUCGCAAGGACAUGUGGAGCGCUUAGAAGUGAGAAUGCCGGUGUGAGUAGCGAAAGACGGGUGAGAAUCCCGUCCACCGAUUGACUAAGGUUUCCAGAGGAAGGCUCGUCCGCUCUGGGUUAGUCGGGUCCUAAGCUGAGGCCGACAGGCGUAGGCGAUGGAUAACAGGUUGAUAUUCCUGUACCACCUAUAAUCGUUUUAAUCGAUGGGGGGACGCAGUAGGAUAGGCGAAGCGUACGAUUGGAUUGUACGUCUAAGCAGUGAGAUUGAGUGUUAGGCAAAUCCGGCACUCUUAAGAUUGAGCUGUGAUGGGGAGAGGAAAUUGUUU
This 887-nucleotide ribosomal RNA is filed under the name Staphylococcus hominis. RNAcentral's name for it is "partial 23S ribosomal RNA". It matches the Rfam family "Bacterial large subunit ribosomal RNA", at positions 697 to 1585 of the family's 2925-position model. The record is from RNAcentral. Lineage: Bacteria; Bacillati; Bacillota; Bacilli; Caryophanales; Staphylococcaceae.